UACGGAGGGAGCUAGCGUUGUUCGGAAUUACUGGGCGUAAAGCGCACGUAGGCGGCAAUCCAAGUCAGGGGUGAAAUCCCGGGGCUCAACCCCGGAACUGCCCUUGAAACUGGAUCGCUAGAAUCUUGGAGAGGCGAGUGGAAUUCCGAGUGUAGAGGUGAAAUUCGUAGAUAUUCGGAAGAACACCAGUGGCGAAGGCGGCACUCUGGGCCGGUACUGACGCUGAGGAGCGAAAGCGUGGGUAGCAAACAGG
This 253-nucleotide ribosomal RNA is filed under the name uncultured bacterium. RNAcentral's name for it is "partial 16S ribosomal RNA". It matches the Rfam family "Bacterial small subunit ribosomal RNA", at positions 524 to 776 of the family's 1533-position model. The record is from RNAcentral.